This is a long non-coding RNA of Peromyscus maniculatus bairdii (prairie deer mouse), 1357 nucleotides long. RefSeq lists it as uncharacterized. NCBI's taxonomy places the organism in Eukaryota, Metazoa, Chordata, Mammalia, Rodentia, Cricetidae. The record is from RefSeq and is a predicted model, not a curated record.
UUCAUAGGGCUGUGUUUGCUGAACACACAGUUCGCCUUGUGCAACCUGGCUGAGCCAAACGCCUGUGGGUGGAGCCUAUCCAGAAUGCUCCCGCAAUGCGGACACCCAGGGCAAUGCUUCUCGACCUUCCUGACGCUGCUACAUCUCCUCCUGCUGUGCUGACCCCGACCAUAACAUGAUUCCGAUGCUACUUCACAACUGUGAUUUUCUACCGGAGGCCAGGCACCGAGUUUUCCGUGUGUGGUGUAUCAUGCCGGCGUUCGGUGGGUUCGGAUUCUGGGUUUCAGCAUUUGGGUGAGGGACGCUCACUGCAUAACAUGAAUGCAUCUCUGAAGAACAAGUCAAUAUUGUGCUUUAAAAAAAAGGAUUCCUGUGUUUAUUGUAUGCCCAUGUGUAUGUGCCGGAGUGUGGGUACACCAUGUGAAUGCAGCGCCUAUGGAUGCCAGUAGACGGUGUUGGAUCCCUUAAACUGGGGUUACAGGUGGUUGUGAGUUCCCAGUCAUGGGUGCUGGGAACUGAACUCAGGUUCUCUGCAGGAGCAAUGGACUGACUAUUAACUGUCUCUCCAGCCCCAACAUUCUGCUUCUUAAAAGAAAGAAGCAUUUGGUAGUGUACAUAGACUAUAAUACCGAUUUUUAAAGAUUUAUGGAUUUAUGUAUAUGAGUGGUCUACUUUCAAGUAUGUUUGCAGGCCAGAAGAGGGCACCAGAUCCCGCUGUAGAUGGUUGUGAGCCACCAUGUGGUUUCUGGGAAUUGAACUCAGGUCCUCUGGAAGAGCAGCCAGUUUUCCUAACCACCGAGCCAUCUCUCCGGCCCCUAUAAUACCGUUUUUUAUAACACUUACAAACAAGAGACAACUCAUUUUCAUGGAAAUGAAGCCCUUUGGUGAUUUCAGCACUGCACACAAGGGAGAGAGCGACUCCAGGUGCAAACAGUGUGUUUGACUCCAUCCACGGAGACGGCACAGACGAGCGUGCAGCUACCCCAGGCGGAGUCACUUUGAGAGAAGAAAGAAGAUUGCUAAUGCUGUCAUCCCACACAUCUCAAGACAAGCAGCCCAAGAGGCUCGGCCGAAUGCCUGCAGCUCCGCGCUCUCCUCCAGUUCCAUCAAGACAAUGGAGAAACAUAAACCGAGAAAGACCGCUGGUGGACUGACGCAGAGAAGGCAAAACCAGUGGGACUCUCGACUCUGCCUGCAGGCAGCCUCAGGUCCCACGCUAGGCUCUCAGGUGUGAAGGCCAGGGUGGAGGGGCAGUAUAGGCACUCAGGAGGCUGAGGAUCCUGAGUUCAAGGCUCAUUUGGGGUACAUAAUAAAACCCUGUCUCAGCCAGGCAGCGGUGGCGCACACCUUUAAUCCC